CUUCAACAAACAACGUGGUUGAAACAAAGCAGCCAAGGUUCUAAAUGUUUGAAAUAGCCCAGGACUAUCCUGAAGAGGGUUUAACAACAUCAAAAAUCCAAUAUAUUAAAGUUCCUAAGCUUCAAUAUGACAAAACUAAGAUGAAGAACUUAGCCCUAACUGUUGAUGUGGAGUUGGUGCUAAUUUGCUGCCACCCCCUUUCAUGAUGUUUUCAAUGUCAAGUAAUGCAUAUUAAUAGCUGGACCUGAAAAAUUGUCACUCACACCUGAGAGAAUUUCGCAGUUGACUGUUGUGAUGAGUAUUUGACUCAUUGAAUCUUUUUUUCAUAUAUUUCUUAGAACAGGCUGGUGAUUUCUGAGUUUCUUUGUGUCAGUCCAAUGUGCUAUGUGCAGAUGGGUUUGUUACAGCCAGCCGGUGAUAGGUGCUCUUCUUGCUACCUGUACCAGCUGUAUGUUUCAUAAACUCAACCAUACAAAAACACUUAACAGAAUGAAUGACACACUUCAGAACAAUGAAGGAUAAACAGCCUGGUGAAGUCUGAGCUUCUUUGUUGCUGCCCAAUGUUCACAUGGAUUUGACAUAAGCGGCAGGUUUAUCGUGUAAGUUUGCGUAGUUGCUGUCCGCUGUGGCUCGUUGUGCAGCCUAUGCUGGCGAAAGAUCUUUCUACAACAAGUUCAAUUGGUCGUUCCUUGGUGUCGUGUUACCGAAAUUGCAUCAUUAUUUUGCUAAAUUGUCAUCGUUACUACAGUUUAUAAGUUAAGAAGCUACAAAAACAAAUAUCGGAUGUUUAUGUCAAACAAAUAAUAAAUAUGUUUUCGGGAUUGGGAAAGGAAAGUGGAGGUGGGGGAGGAUAUUUCAAGUCGGGACAAAAAAUCAGUUAAUUUAUAAACCUACAAACAUAUCCCUACCAACUAAUCAGCAAACCCCACAAACUUAUACCUUCCAAUUCUUCAAACCCCACAAACAUACACCUACCAAACCCUAAAUUUAUGCCCUAAACCCCAUAAACCAAUGUUAAAACAUAACGAUGUAAAAUAUCUGUAAUAAAUAAA
This is a long non-coding RNA of Daphnia pulicaria, 1052 nucleotides long. RefSeq lists it as uncharacterized. NCBI's taxonomy places the organism in Eukaryota, Metazoa, Arthropoda, Branchiopoda, Diplostraca, Daphniidae. The transcript has 5 exons. The record is from RefSeq and is a predicted model, not a curated record.